UCUGGGCAUGGGGACACACACCUGUAAUCCCAGAUACAAUAGGGUGGUUGAAGCUGGUGGAUUUCUAGAGCUCAGGAGUUCUGAGUUGUAGAGAGCUAUGCAAAUCCAUUGUCUGCACUAAGUUCAACAUUAAUAUGGUGAGUCCCCAGGAAGGGGGUAGAGUGGGACCACCUGUUUGCUUAAGAAGGGGACAAACCAGACCAGGUCAGACAUGGAACCAGUCAAAGCUGUGCAGAUCGAUAGUGGGACUGGGCUUUGGUACAACCCCUGUAUUUCCAGCCUCAGAGAGAUGGGGAGACCUAGUUUUUA
RNAcentral lists this signal recognition particle RNA (309 nucleotides) under Vombatus ursinus (common wombat). RNAcentral describes it as "Metazoan signal recognition particle RNA (ENSVURG00010015008.1)". It matches the Rfam family "Metazoan signal recognition particle RNA". Rfam says of the family: The signal recognition particle (SRP) is a universally conserved ribonucleoprotein. Lineage: Eukaryota; Metazoa; Chordata; Mammalia; Diprotodontia; Vombatidae. The record is from Rfam by way of RNAcentral.